Molecule: long non-coding RNA, 311 nt
Organism: Hydra vulgaris (swiftwater hydra)
Lineage: Eukaryota; Metazoa; Cnidaria; Hydrozoa; Anthoathecata; Hydridae
Source: RefSeq, a predicted model, not a curated record
UUCCGUCAAUAUUUGACAAUUGUUCUUCUGGCGUAGAUGAUUUCUAGAGAUAUAAUUGCAAAUUGUAAAUGUGCGAUAAAAAAGAAAGUUCUACAAAGCGUCUGGUGAAAGCUUAACUGAUUCCUUAACAUUCGAAAACUAUAGAACUUACCGCUCCCAACCUCUCUCAGAAAGGUCCUUCAACAAAUGAAGAGAUAAUGGCGGAAUGGAUGAGCUCUCCUUCAAAUGGAGGGCUCAUCCAUACCGGGGUGUUAUAUGACUUUUUGGUUGCUGCUUUUUCUUCGGUGUUUUUUUUUUUUUUUUUCUUUUUU